AAAAGGCCUUUGGGCCUUUACUCUUCCCUGUCUGGUAGGGAAAAUGCUUCUGAGUGCUCUGCAGAAGUUUGAUUGAAGCAGAGAAAGCUCUGGAGAGGAAGCCAGUAGUGGAACAGCAUUGUCUCGGAAGGGUCUGUCCUCAGAGGGUGUGUAUCCUGCUGACCACUUGGUUACAGUGGGAUGUGGCAUCUGGUCCCUGUGCCUCCACUUCACAGCUUCCUGAUCACUCACUGGAGGUGGAUCAGAUUAGCUACUGGUGAAUGCACUAGGUUGAUUCAUAACUGCACCAUUCGCCAGCUCACACACAUCUGUUCCACAAGCAAUGCUAGCCUGAUAGAAAGGCCUUCAGAGAGCCCCUGAAGGCAGGGUAAAUCUGGUUUCAGCAAGGAACACAGGAUGUGAGAUAAAAGUCUCAAGAGGGAAAUUGGGAAGAUGGAAAGUAAGAAGAAAGGAGAGGCCUGGAAAAUAAGACAAGAAACUGGCUAGGGUCUAUUUGGGAAGACUUUCCCUUGGGUCUCGUAAGCACAGGAGGCAACACCCAGCUGCAGUGUGGCCCACCAGUUCAGCCCUGGUCUUGAGUGGUUUGGAAGAGUGGUUCAGCACACUGAAGUUGUAGACCCUUUGGAAAGUUGCAUAUGCACCCUAUGCCUGCCUUUCUUCAUUUAUAAAAGAGGACAGAAUAAUAGUAAUUCCUGUGUGAGAGUACAUAGAACAAUGACCAAAAAUAUUAGCUUCUCUUCAGUGGUAGAUGUUCAAUAAAUAUUUGAAUAAAAUAAAUUUGCCAGAAUCAGAGGUUAUAUGGGAAUACAUGAGCCACACACAUGCACAAAACUUGUGGGAAAAAUAAAGCUAAAUAAGGCAUAAGAUAAGCCCAUAUGAGAGGCAUAUGCUAGAAGGGAAACUAAGGCACACAUAGGAGGAAGGAAAGUUCUGGAAGGAAUGUGAUAAAUAUACCAGCAGAGGAAGUGAAGUGGACCAUAGUUCAGAGUAUAGAGGAUUUCCAACAUGAGCUCAGCACAAGCCACGUGGCUGAAUGGACAAAUCUUUCAACAUAAUACAACUGUGUUUACAUAGCAUUUGUUCCAUCAUCUCCCUCAGAGUCCUCAUCCCUGGAGAUUAGUUGAUUAAGGAAAACAAAAAAAGGUGUCCAUUGUAAUACAUAGAAACUGAGAUUUCAAGAGUCAAACUGGAAUCUAGUUUUUGGGCCAGCCACUUCCAAGUUAUGUUUUUGAACACCAAGGACAGGGGAUGGAUAUUCCCAGAGGUUAGUCUGCUGUUUUGUGCAACCAGAGAACUUUUGCUGCCAAGCACCAGAGAUGUACGCCUGAGUGUAACACCAGGAGAGCAGCCAAGGCCCCACUCGGGCUGUUUUUUUUUUGUCUAAAGUGGAUGUUUUUCCAAGCAAACUGCAUUGUGUUCCCAAAAGAGAUCCAUCAUCCUUGUCUUUACGGUUACACAGCGGGAAUCAAAUUGAUGGGGUGAUGGGUGUCUGGGCCAAAGGAAAAGAUGCUGCACAUCAGAGACCCCUCCCUUUGCCUGAUCCUUUUCAAGAACAAGAAAAUCUUUGGAAUGAAAUGUAGUAACUGACCUUGAAGGAACCCAUCCCCCGGGUUUGACGCUCAGGAAGCUUUGGAUAUUUGGGAAACUCAGCGCAGCCAAUGGGAACUUUCCUC
Long non-coding RNA from Cavia porcellus (domestic guinea pig), 1673 nucleotides. RefSeq lists it as uncharacterized. NCBI's taxonomy places the organism in Eukaryota, Metazoa, Chordata, Mammalia, Rodentia, Caviidae. The record is from RefSeq and is a predicted model, not a curated record. The transcript is spliced from 3 exons.